GCUUUAAUAGUUUAAUAAAAACACUGGUCUUGUAAGUCAGAGAAGAAUUCUUUUUUCUUAAAGCA
Molecule: transfer RNA, 65 nt
Filed under: Pandalus borealis (northern shrimp)
Lineage: Eukaryota; Metazoa; Arthropoda; Malacostraca; Decapoda; Pandalidae
Description: tRNA-Thr
Rfam family: tRNA
About the family: Transfer RNA (tRNA) molecules are approximately 80 nucleotides in length. Their secondary structure includes four short double-helical elements and three loops (D, anti-codon, and T loops).
Source: RNAcentral